Molecule: ribosomal RNA, 575 nt
Filed under: uncultured bacterium
Lineage: Bacteria
Description: bacterial SSU rRNA
Rfam family: Bacterial small subunit ribosomal RNA
Source: RNAcentral
ACGGGUGAGAAGCGCGUAGGAAUCUGCCUUGUAGAGGGGGACAACCCGAGGAAACUCGGGCUAAUACCGCAUAAUCUCGAAAGAGUAAAGGCUGGGUAGCAAUACCUGGCGCUACAAGAGGAGCCUGCGUCCGAUUAGCUAGUUGGUGGGGUAAAGGCCUACCAAGGCGAUGAUCGGUAGCUGGUCUGAGAGGAUGAUCAGCCACACUGGGACUGAGACACGGCCCAGACUCCUACGGGAGGCAGCAGUGGGGAAUAUUGGACAAUGGGGGCAACCCUGAUCCAGCAAUGCCGCGUGUGUGAAGAAGGCCUUCGGGUUGUAAAGCACUUUAGGCUGGGAAGAAGUUAGCUAGUUUAAGAGAUAGGCUAAUUGACUGUACCAGCAGAAUAAGCACCGGCUAACUCUGUGCCAGCAGCCGCGGUAAUACAGAGGGUGCAAGCGUUAAUCGGAUUUACUGGGCGUAAAGGGCGCGUAGGCGGUUGUUUAAGUGAGAUGUGAAAACCCUGGGCUUAACCUAGGACGUGCAUCUGAUACUGAAUGACUAGAGUACUGUAGAGGGUAGUGGAAUUUCCGGU